AAUAUCUUUUGUAUAUAAUCUUUUUCUCUUUCCAAUAAAUGUUCUUAUCUUUCACUAUUUUUUCUUUUAUCACAUCGAUGCUUGAACAUAUUUGAUCUACAAAGAAAAGCAUGUUAUUUACAUGAUAUCAAAGCUAUAAGCUUUAAGAUUGGUGGUCCAUAUAUUUGUAGCUUAGCAUGAUUGAAAAGUUUUUAGUAAUUUACUAUAUGGUUGUAUGUGUAUGUAGAUUAUUAUUGGCGUGAUUCAAUAGGUGAAUCAUUAUGACUGAUGCUAGUACCAUCUCUUUCAUAGAGAUCCAAAAAUUGAACACUAAUUAUAU
This 319-nucleotide long non-coding RNA is filed under the name Phoenix dactylifera (date palm). RNAcentral describes it as "long non-coding RNA (PDAC_LNC012245)". The record is from RNAcentral. Lineage: Eukaryota; Viridiplantae; Streptophyta; Magnoliopsida; Arecales; Arecaceae.